RNAcentral lists this ribosomal RNA (245 nucleotides) under uncultured Fibrobacter sp. Its description in RNAcentral is "partial 16S ribosomal RNA". It matches the Rfam family "Bacterial small subunit ribosomal RNA", at positions 524 to 768 of the family's 1533-position model. Lineage: Bacteria; Pseudomonadati; Fibrobacterota; Fibrobacteria; Fibrobacterales; Fibrobacteraceae. The record is from RNAcentral.
UACGAGGGGUGCAAGCGUUGUUCGGAAUCACUGGGCGUAAAGGGAGCGUAGGCGGAAGUUCAAGCGGAUUGUACAAUCCCGGGGCCCAACCCCGGACCUGCAGUCCGAACUGGACUUCUUGGAUAGUUCAGGGGCAGGCGGAAUUCCUGGUGUAGCGGUGGAAUGCGUAGAGAUCAGGAAGAACACCGAUGGCGAAGGCAGCCUGCUGGGGACUCAUCGACGCUGAGGCUCGAAAGCGCGGGUAG